UUGGUUCACUUAUGUGAUGAAAAGGGAACGGGGUGAGAAUCCCCGACAGUCCCGCUGCUGUGAGCUGCUCUUGAUAUGCUCAACAAAAAAGCCACUGGCCACCUGCCGGGAAGGUGUUGGGCGUAAGUCAGCAAAGUCAGAAGACCUGCCGUUGCC
RNAcentral lists this non-coding RNA (156 nucleotides) under uncultured Prevotella sp. Lineage: Bacteria; Pseudomonadati; Bacteroidota; Bacteroidia; Bacteroidales; Prevotellaceae. The record is from RNAcentral.